UACGGGGGGGGCAAGCGUUGUUCGGAAUUACUGGGCGUAAAGGGCUCGUAGGUGGCCAACUAAGUCAGACGUGAAAUCCCCAGGCUCAACUUGGGAACUGCGUCUGAUACUGGAGGGCUUGAGUGCGGGAGAGGGAUGUGGAAUUCCAGGUGUAGCGGUGAAAUGCGUAGAUAUCUGGAGGAACACCGGUGGCGAAGGCGGCAUCCUGGACCGACACUGACGCUGAUGCGCGAAAGCCAGGGGAGCAAACGGG
This 253-nucleotide ribosomal RNA is filed under the name uncultured bacterium. RNAcentral describes it as "partial 16S ribosomal RNA". It matches the Rfam family "Bacterial small subunit ribosomal RNA", at positions 524 to 776 of the family's 1533-position model. The record is from RNAcentral.